RNAcentral lists this ribosomal RNA (440 nucleotides) under uncultured bacterium. RNAcentral's name for it is "partial 16S ribosomal RNA". It matches the Rfam family "Bacterial small subunit ribosomal RNA", at positions 338 to 795 of the family's 1533-position model. The record is from RNAcentral.
CCUACGGGAGGCUGCAGUGGGGGAUAUUGCACAAUGGGGGAAACCCUGAUGCAGCGACGCCGCGUGAGUGAAGAAGUAUUUCGGUAUGUAAAGCUCUAUCAGCAGGGAAGAAAAUGACAGUACCUGACCAAGAAGCCCCGGCUAACUACGUGCCAGCAGCCGCGGUAAUACGUAGGGGGCAAGCGUUAUCCGGAUUUACUGGGUGGAAAGGGAGCGUAGACGGCUGUGCAAGUCUGAAGUGAAAGCCCGUGGCACAACCGCGGAACUGCUUUGGAAACUGUAUAGCUUGAGUACUGGAGAGGCAGGCGGAAUUCCUAGUGUAGCGGUGAAAUGCGGAGAUAUUAGGAGGAACACCAGUGGCGAAGGCGGCCUGCUGGACAGAAACUGACGUUGAGGCUCGAAAGCGUGGGGAGCAAACAGGAUUAGAUACCCUUGUAGUC